This 897-nucleotide ribosomal RNA is filed under the name Triticum aestivum (bread wheat). Its description in RNAcentral is "partial small subunit ribosomal RNA". The record is from RNAcentral. Lineage: Eukaryota; Viridiplantae; Streptophyta; Magnoliopsida; Poales; Poaceae.
CUGCAUAAGUUGUGUCGGUGGCAUAUCAUGAAGAAGUACAAAGACCACCUCGCCUUGCUGUAUAAGGCGCACGAGAAACUCAAGGAUGAUCUCAGUGCAGUGGUCAACCACCCACUAAUGCCGUGAGAAUUUGAACGAGCAUGGAAGGACCUCAUUCAGAGAUACAACUUGCAAGACGACAAAGUGAUGAAUUCGCUGUGGGAAGAUAGGCAUGAGUGGAUCUCGGCUUACUACAAGGAAGUUUUCUGUGCUCGGAUGACUUCCACGCAGAGAAGCGAGAGGAUGAACCGCAUACUGAAGCAAAACUUUGUCAAAGAGAAGCAUGAUCUCCAUCUGUUUGCUCAGCAGGUGGACAAGUGCAUUCAGACCAGGAAGGUCGUCGAGCACGCACAGACAGUAGCAAAUGAGUUAGAGGUAAAGACAACAACCCAGUUUGGGUUCGAAGUUCAGCUAUCAAAAGUGUAUACAAGGGCAGUGUUUGCAGAUUUCAAAGAAACACUCUACCGUAGCACUCCAUUCAGAGCAGAACGGUGCCCUGAGAACCUGACAAAGUAUCUCGUACACCACUACAACAGAUCGAAUGCAUUUGACUGGGCAAGGCAUAAUUUCCAAGUGGUCGCCGAUGAACAGAAAGGUGUCUACGAAUGUGAAUGCAAACUCUAGACACACACAGGGCUCUUUUGCGUCCAUGUGUUAUGCUUGCUUUCUCAUUCGAGAGUGCUCAAGAUUCCUGAGGUGUACAUCAUGAAAAGAUACACCCGUAACGCAAGAUCAUAUGCGACGUUUGACAAAAGAGAUUAUGAACAAACAGCACUAGAUGGAACAUCGCUUUUUUGCCGUAGAAAAUUGCUGACAGAAACAGCAAUGGACCUUGCAAACAGAGCAACAAGGUCCGAC